RNAcentral lists this ribosomal RNA (253 nucleotides) under uncultured bacterium. RNAcentral's name for it is "partial 16S ribosomal RNA". It matches the Rfam family "Bacterial small subunit ribosomal RNA", at positions 524 to 776 of the family's 1533-position model. The record is from RNAcentral.
UACGUAGGGCGCAAGCGUUAUCCGGAAUUAUUGGGCGUAAAGAGCUCGUAGGCGGUUUGUCGCGUCUGCCGUGAAAGUCCGGGGCUCAACUCCGGAUCUGCGGUGGGUACGGGCAGACUAGAGUGAUGUAGGGGAGACUGGAAUUCCUGGUGUAGCGGUGAAAUGCGCAGAUAUCAGGAGGAACACCGAUGGCGAAGGCGGGAUCCUGGGCCAGUACUGACGCUGAGGAGCGAAAGCUAGGGGAGCGAACGGG